CCAGACUCCUACGGGAGGCAGCAGUGGGGAAUAUUGGGCAAUGGGCGCAAGCCUUACCCAGCAAUACCGCGUGAGUGAAGAAGGUCUUCGGAUUGUAAAGCUCUUUGAUCAGGGGCGAACAGAUGACGGUACCUGAAGAACAAGCCCCGGCUAACUACGUGCCAGCAGCCGCGGUAAUACGUAGGGGGCAAGCGUUAUCCGGAUUCACUGGGUGUAAAGGGAGCGUAGACGGCGACGCAAGUCUGGAGUGAAAGCCCGGGGCCCAACCCCGGGACUGCUCUGGAAACUGCGUCGCUGGAGUACGGGAGGGGCAGGCGGAAUUCCUGGUGUAGCGGUGAAAUGCGUAGAUAUCAGGAGGAACACCGGCGGCGAAGGCGGCCUGCUGGACCGCGACUGACGUUGAGGCUCGAAAGCGUGGGGAGCGAACAGGAUUAGAUACCCUUGUAU
Molecule: ribosomal RNA, 447 nt
Filed under: uncultured bacterium
Lineage: Bacteria
Description: bacterial SSU rRNA
Rfam family: Bacterial small subunit ribosomal RNA
Source: RNAcentral